Molecule: ribosomal RNA, 447 nt
Filed under: uncultured bacterium
Lineage: Bacteria
Description: partial 16S ribosomal RNA
Rfam family: Bacterial small subunit ribosomal RNA
Source: RNAcentral
AACGAACGCUAUCGGUAUGCUUAACACAUGCAAGUCGGACGGACUAAUUAGGGCUUGCUCCAAUUAGUUAGUGGCAGACGGGUGAGUAACACGUGGGAAUCUGCCCAUCAGUACGGAAUAACUUUUAGAAAUAAAAGCUAAUACCGUAUAUUCUCUACAGAGGAAAGAUUUAUCGCUGAUGGAUGAGCCCGCGUCAGAUUAGGUAGUUGGUGAGGUAACAGCUCACCAAGCCGACGAUCUGUAGCUGGUCUGAGAGGAUGAUCAGCCACACUGGGACUGAGACACGGCCCAGACUCCUACGGGAGGCAGCAGUGGGGAAUAUUGGACAAUGGGCGAAAGCCUGAUCCAGCAAUACCGAGUGAGUGAUAAAGGCCCUAGGGUUGUAAAGCUCUUUUAGCAAGGAAGAUAAUGACGUUACUUGCAGAAAAAGCCCCGGCUAACUCCGUG